This is a non-coding RNA of Pelobates cultripes (western spadefoot toad), 221 nucleotides long. The record is from the annotation of a GenBank genome assembly. NCBI's taxonomy places the organism in Eukaryota, Metazoa, Chordata, Amphibia, Anura, Pelobatidae.
UCUAGAAAACCUUGGGUCAAUCGCACAUGCCCAUGACGGCGACUUGAUAUCAAACCAUGAUAUCAACUUUUGAUGCCAAUUUCUGCUCCUACCAUGGUGACUACAAGUAACGGGGAAUCAGGGUUCCAUUCCGUACAGGGACCCUGAGAAACGGCUACCACAUGCAAGGAAGGCAGCAGGUGUGCAAAUGAACCACUUCCGACGCGGGAAGGUAGUGACGA